GAUGAACGCUAGCUACAGGCUUAACACAUGCGAGUCGAGGGGCAGCGGUAUCGAAAGCUUGCUUUCGGUAGCCGGCGACCGGCGCACGGGUGAGUAACGCGUAUCGAACCUGCCUCAUACUCGGGAAUAGCCUUGCGAAAGUAAGAUUAAUGCCCGGUGUUUUCAGAGUCCCGCAUGAGGCUUUGAACAAAGAUUUAUCGGUAUGAGAUGGCGAUGCGUCCCAUUAGCUUGUUGGCGGGGUAACGGCCCACCAAGGCAUCGAUGGGUAGGGGUUCUGAGAGGAAGGUCCCCCACAUUGGAACUGAGACACGGUCCAAACUCCUACGGGAGGCAGCAGUGAGGAAUAUUGGUCAAUGGGCGGAAGCCUGAACCAGCCAAGUAGCGUGCAGGAAGACGGCCCUCCGGGUUGUAAACUGCUUUUAGUUGGGAAUAAAACGGGACUCGUGAGCCCCCUUGCAUGUACCAUCAGAAAAAGGACCGGCUAAUUCCGUG
RNAcentral lists this ribosomal RNA (492 nucleotides) under uncultured bacterium. RNAcentral describes it as "partial 16S ribosomal RNA". It matches the Rfam family "Bacterial small subunit ribosomal RNA", at positions 28 to 507 of the family's 1533-position model. The record is from RNAcentral.